This 497-nucleotide ribosomal RNA is filed under the name uncultured bacterium. RNAcentral describes it as "partial 16S ribosomal RNA". It matches the Rfam family "Bacterial small subunit ribosomal RNA", at positions 28 to 507 of the family's 1533-position model. The record is from RNAcentral.
GAUGAACGCUGGCGGCGUGCCUAAUACAUGCAAGUCGAGCGAACGGACGAGAAGCUUGCUUCUCUGAUGUUAGCGGCGGACGGGUGAGUAACACGUGGAUAACCUACCUAUAAGACUGGGAUAACUUCGGGAAACCGGAGCUAAUACCGGAUAAUAUUUUGAACCGCAUGGUUCAAAAGUGAAAGACGGUCUUGCUGUCACCUAUAGAUGGAUCCGCGCUGCAUUAGCUAGUUGGUAAGGUAACGGCUUACCAAGGCAACGAUGCAUAGCCGACCUGAGAGGGUGAUCGGCCACACUGGAACUGAGACACGGUCCAGACUCCUACGGGAGGCAGCAGUAGGGAAUCUUCCGCAAAGGGCGAAAGCCUGACGGAGCAACGCCGCGUGAGUGAUGAAGGUCUUCGGAUCGUAAAACUCUGUUAUUAGGGAAGAACAUAUGUGUAAGUAACUGUGCACAUCUUGACGGUACCUAAUCAGAAAGCCACGGCUAACUACGUG